UUGUGGAAUACAGAGGAGAGUUGAUAGACUCUGCUGAAUCUGAAGCUAGGAGGAAGAAGUAUCAUCCAUCACAGGCAGUUUUUAUGUUUGACUUCUACUGGCAUGGCAAAAAAUGGUGCAUUGAUGCUGCUGUGGAAAAUGGAUCAUUGGGGAGGCUGGUCAAUGAUGACCAUGUUAAUCCUAACUGCCGGGUGAAAAAAAUUGUUUCAGAUGGAAAGCCACAUCUAGUCCUGUUUGCUUUUCAAAACAUAGAGAGAGGAGAUGAACUCACAUAUGAUUAUGGCGGAAUUGAUUAGCCUUGGAGGGUUGAUGAAAACAACAACAAGGAACUGGUGGAAAGUUCCAACACAAGGGUACAACACACCAAUGAGGUUUCCCCUUCAAUUCUGAAGGU
This is a long non-coding RNA of Carassius carassius (crucian carp), 394 nucleotides long. RefSeq lists it as uncharacterized. The record is from RefSeq and is a predicted model, not a curated record. NCBI's taxonomy places the organism in Eukaryota, Metazoa, Chordata, Actinopteri, Cypriniformes, Cyprinidae. The transcript has 3 exons.